This 253-nucleotide ribosomal RNA is filed under the name uncultured bacterium. RNAcentral describes it as "partial 16S ribosomal RNA". It matches the Rfam family "Bacterial small subunit ribosomal RNA", at positions 524 to 776 of the family's 1533-position model. The record is from RNAcentral.
UACGGAGGGAGCUAGCGUUGUUCGGAAUUACUGGGCGUAAAGCGCACUAGGCGGCUUUGUAAGUUAGAGGUGAAAGCCCGGAGCUCAACUCCGGAAUUGCCUUUAAGACUGCAUCGCUUGAAUCCAGGAGAGGUGAGUGGAAUUCCGAGUGUAGAGGUGAAAUUCGUAGAUAUUCGGAAGAACACCAGUGGCGAAGGCGGCUCACUGGACUGGUAUUGACGCUGAGGUGCGAAAAGCGUGGGGAGCAAACAGG